AACAUAUAAUAUUUCAAACAUGGCGCAUCUACGAACCCAUCACGCCGACUAGUCGGGUGGAUUGAUAAGCACAUUCGGAAUCAUUUAUCGGCAAUCAAAUAGUGUGGAGAUCGAAGAUUUGACAAACGCUUUCAAGUUUGGCUUCAAGCAAGAGGGAUAACUUAAACUGAAAGUAUUUUUUUCGUAAAGUUUGUUUUAUCUCAAUAAUCUUAAACAAUAGUUUGCACAAGUUGUAAAAGCGUUUAAAUUUUUUCUUCAGAAUUUACUUUAACAUA
RNAcentral lists this small RNA (275 nucleotides) under Arabidopsis thaliana (thale cress). Its description in RNAcentral is "ATSL184070". Lineage: Eukaryota; Viridiplantae; Streptophyta; Magnoliopsida; Brassicales; Brassicaceae. The record is from RNAcentral.